AUUUUUUAUUUCAAAACUUAUUGUAUGUGUAUACAAUGCGUUUUUCAGUAUGUGUAGCAGGAUUGGGGUUUUGGUUGACAUUGAUUGUCUAAUAUAAUGUGCUUGGGGUUUGUGUUUGGAUUCUAGAUUUGUUUCUCCUGUUGAUACUGAGUUUAUAUAUGUACUUUUUCAACGAUUUUCUUUUCGUCAUUUUCGGCCUUGGUGUGUUGUGAACUCAGAAUUUUGGAAAUUUACGGUUUUUUGUUGUAGAAGUUGGGUUUCAGGUUUUGAUGAGCUAGAAUUGGUUGAUCCAUUACAUUAUUUACGGGGUAGCGUGAUGAUUUUUAAAAUUUCUUCUUUGAUGUGGAUUUUUGUUUGUUGUUUUUGGUUUGGUAGCUUAGGGAUCUAAUCGGAGAUAAAAUUGUGAUUUUCUUUAGGUGAUUUUUUGGGGAGCCUUGUUAAAUGCUCUUUAGGCUGGAAAUUAUGCAUGUAUUUGAUUUAUUCUGAGAAUUAGGUUGUUAGAGUUGAAUCUAAUUGACGAGUAUGAACUUCUUGGAUUAAAUCUUUCUUACGUUCUAGUAUUACAGUUAUGUCUAUAGCUUUAUGGAUUAGAUUUUCGCACAUUUAAUUUUGAAAUGGAGUUAAUUUGGCA
Molecule: long non-coding RNA, 631 nt
Filed under: Olea europaea subsp. europaea
Lineage: Eukaryota; Viridiplantae; Streptophyta; Magnoliopsida; Lamiales; Oleaceae
Source: RNAcentral